Molecule: ribosomal RNA, 253 nt
Filed under: uncultured bacterium
Lineage: Bacteria
Description: partial 16S ribosomal RNA
Rfam family: Bacterial small subunit ribosomal RNA
Source: RNAcentral
UACGUAUGUCGCGAGCGUUAUCCGGAAUUAUUGGGCAUAAAGGGCAUCUAGGCGGCCGGGUAAGUCCGGGGUGAAAACUGCUGGCUCAACCAGCAGCCUGCCUUGGAAACUACCCGGCUUGAGUGCUGGAGAGGUGGACGGAACUGCACGAGUAGAGGUGAAAUUCGUAGAUAUGUGCAGGAAUGCCGAUGAUGAAGAUAGUUCACUGGACGGCAACUGACGCUGAAGUGCGAAAGCUAGGGGAGCGAACAGG